Molecule: long non-coding RNA, 417 nt
Organism: Hipposideros armiger (great roundleaf bat)
Lineage: Eukaryota; Metazoa; Chordata; Mammalia; Chiroptera; Hipposideridae
Exons: 3
Source: RefSeq, a predicted model, not a curated record
GUGACGAGAGCCAGGUGCCAGGGUGGAUGUGCUGCAGGGCUGCUGUGUACAUGAGUGUGUGUGUGUGUAUGAUGCGUCGUCCAGCUCUUGUCACAUAGAAAGCCUGAAGCCUACUUUGGGGGAGCCCCUUGGGGAGUGAGACUACCCACCACCGAGGGCCUGUGCUGGGCACAAAACAAAUGUGGGAGCCAUUUCGCAGAUGGGGAAACUGAAGUCCGAGUUUCACAACUGUCAAGUGGGCACAAAGCAGGCUGGGGAGGAGAAGGCAUUGCCUGGAGUUACCUGGGGGAGACAUCACAAGAGGCUGUGAAGGAGAGAAGCUAAUUCCUGGGCAAACAUCACGGACAGGUGGCAGAGACUGGGUUCCAGCCAUCCCUGCACUGUCCCACCUUGCCUCGACCUUGACCCUGGGGCCAG